Molecule: long non-coding RNA, 432 nt
Organism: Cercocebus atys (sooty mangabey)
Lineage: Eukaryota; Metazoa; Chordata; Mammalia; Primates; Cercopithecidae
Exons: 3
Source: RefSeq, a predicted model, not a curated record
UCAGGUGGGAUGUAACAUUCUGUUUCCUCCUUUUUUAAUAAGGUGAGCCAUUUGAAGUGCUUUGCAGCUGGAGUUAAGACCAGAAAAAAAGUCAAUUCAAGGUCAGCGUUCUGGCCAGUCUUUAUGUUGCCUAGCUCUAUUUUAAAAUGAUGCAGUUGCUUGGCUUACAUGGUACUAUGAAGACUGACACCUUUCAAGAUCUGCAGGAUGAGUCAGCAAGCUGAUAACCCAGGAGACCUUAUCAUGUCAUUUCAGUCUGCAGACCGGCAGGCUCAAGACCCAGGAAGAUGUGAUGUUCCAGUUUGUGUGAAAAGGCAGGAAAAAAUGGAUUCCUAGUUCAAAAGCUGACAGACUUGUGAAGAAAAUCCCUGAUUCCUCCACUUCGACCAUGAUUGUAAGCUUCCUGAGAUCUCUGCAGCCAGGCAGAACUGU